UGGAACAGUUGCUUGAGAAAUUAAUGUACAAGUGGCUGAGCAUUCUACAGACAGGUGAGCCCUUAAUGUAGUUCUCAACGAGAUUCAGCGUGGCAAAGAGUGUGACAACGCUGGCCCUUUCCAAUUACAGGUACCACACAUUUUUGCCAUGCCAGCUGAGUGAACUGGAACAACG
Octopus sinensis (East Asian common octopus) is the source of this 175-nucleotide long non-coding RNA. RefSeq lists it as uncharacterized. NCBI's taxonomy places the organism in Eukaryota, Metazoa, Mollusca, Cephalopoda, Octopoda, Octopodidae. The record is from RefSeq and is a predicted model, not a curated record. The transcript has 3 exons.